RNAcentral lists this ribosomal RNA (540 nucleotides) under Triticum aestivum (bread wheat). RNAcentral's name for it is "partial small subunit ribosomal RNA". The record is from RNAcentral. Lineage: Eukaryota; Viridiplantae; Streptophyta; Magnoliopsida; Poales; Poaceae.
AUGAAGACAUCAUGUCGGAACUGUCGUGGGAUAGGCGACCCCGCGACAGUUCAUGAGCUCCGCGCUCUCGUGGAGGAUAGUGCACCGUCGGUUCUUUGUAUUGUGGAAACUCAAAUUGCAAAAAACCAAGUGGAAGGUUUGGCGGUGUCGUUAGGUUUUCAAAGUAGUUUUGUAGUAGCUAGUAGUGGGCGGAGUGGAGGUUUAUGUAUUUUUUGGAAGAGUGAUGUUAACUUAUCAAUAAAGAACUUUUCACAGUAUCAUAUCAAUGCUUGGGUUUCGACCGCAGGUAUGGAUCAAUGGCGCCUUACUUGUUUCUACGGGGAGGCAAAUAGAAGCUUGCGGUAUAACACUUGGGAAACUAUGAGGAGGCUGAGAGGGGAGAGUACGUUACCCUGGCUUUGCAUUGGCGAUUUCAACGAGAUCUUAUGCCAGGAGGAACAAAUGGGGCCAAAUCCGCUAGAUAGUGCACAAAUGGCGGGCUUUAGAGAGGCAGUUGAUGUCUGUGGCCUGUCGGACCUAGGCUAUAAGGGUCUCGACUAG